GGGACCUUAAGUUAAGAAAGACUGUUGGCCUUCAAAGUCGGAAGAGUAGUGAAAAACUACAGGUUUCG
RNAcentral lists this transfer RNA (68 nucleotides) under Anadara vellicata. RNAcentral describes it as "tRNA-Trp". The record is from RNAcentral. Lineage: Eukaryota; Metazoa; Mollusca; Bivalvia; Arcoida; Arcidae.